CAUUGGCCAACCUCCGAAGAUUUUCUUGGACAACAACUUUGGGAUCCCUCCGUUUGGAACUACUGAAAAGAUUGAGUGAGCUAAGAGUUGGAGGAAUGGGAGGCUUGCCUUAAAGCAUGGAGCCAAUUGGUUUGUUUGGGGUGGCUCUGAUGAAGUCAUCCCUUGAUGCCACUGACCCACAAGGUCAUAAAACCCCCAUGUUGCAAAAGAUGAGCAGUUCACAAGAGUCAACAGAAAAGGGAAAAACAGGAAGUGAGCAACUUCUGAAGCAAGCCUGGGUUUUCACUGCAGUGCAAACGACAAAGAGUGUUGAAGAUACCUGGGAUCAAAGGAGAUCUGAUAAUAGUUAAGUCUCCUUUCAGAGCUGGUAGGCCUCUCAAGUACGUUUCUAUUUCAUUCUGGAUUUCUUCCAGUUGAUGAGUUGUGGGUGCAUUUAUUUCAGUGGCUGGUUUCAACAGGCUCUCCCUCCAAGCUACCUGAAGAUCUUCAAACUCAAAAUCAUAAACCCCAGUGAAGAGCUGAUCAAUAAAAGCCUUCAUGAACGA
Molecule: long non-coding RNA, 545 nt
Organism: Mesocricetus auratus (golden hamster)
Lineage: Eukaryota; Metazoa; Chordata; Mammalia; Rodentia; Cricetidae
Exons: 2
Source: RefSeq, a predicted model, not a curated record